RNAcentral lists this ribosomal RNA (217 nucleotides) under Solenopsis sp. 15 GR-2021. RNAcentral describes it as "partial large subunit ribosomal RNA". The record is from RNAcentral. RNAcentral also lists the same sequence under 1 other name. Lineage: Eukaryota; Metazoa; Arthropoda; Insecta; Hymenoptera; Formicidae.
GAAUUUUAUAUAAUUUUAUUUGAUUAGAUUAUAUUUAGUUAAAUAUAAUAAAAUUAUAUUUUAUUGGGAGGAUAGUUAAAUAUUUUUAACUUUAAUUAAAAGUUAGAAGAUAAAUUAAUAAAUUAUUAGGAAUGGUUUAUAAAUUAAAUAAGAAUUAAUUACCUUAGGGAUAACAGCGUAAUAUUUUUGGUGAGUUCAUAUCAAUAAAAAUGUUUGC